RNAcentral lists this ribosomal RNA (490 nucleotides) under uncultured bacterium. RNAcentral's name for it is "partial 16S ribosomal RNA". It matches the Rfam family "Bacterial small subunit ribosomal RNA", at positions 30 to 507 of the family's 1533-position model. The record is from RNAcentral.
AUUGAACGCUGGCGGCAUGCUUUACACAUGCAAGUCGAACGGCAGCACGAAAGGGCUUGCUCUUUUGGUGGCGAGUGGCGAACGGGUGAGUAAUGCAUCGGAACGUACCGAGUAAUGGGGGAUAACUGUCCGAAAGGAUAGCUAAUACCGCAUACGCUUUGAGAAGGAAAGUGGGGGCUCUUCGGACCUCACGUUAUUCGAGCGGCCGAUGUCUGAUUAGCUAGUUGGUGGGGUAAAGGCCUACCAAGGCGACGAUCAGUAGCGGGUCUGAGAGGAUGAUCCGCCACACUGGGACUGAGACACGGCCCAGACUCCUACGGGAGGCAGCAGUGGGGAAUUUUGGACAAUGGGCGCAAGCCUGAUCCAGCCAUGCCGCGUGUCUGAAGAAGGCCUUCGGGUUGUAAAGGACUUUUGUUAGGGAAGAAAAGGAUAGUGUUAAUACCAUUAUCUGCUGACGGUACCUAAAGAAUAAGCACCGGCUAACUACGUG